UCAAAAUAUCCAAUCUUGGGUCUUGGCAUCCGAAGUCCGGUUGGUUUAAAGCUUCUUCUUCCUUGGGAACUAGCAUUAGUGCUACUCGGAAAAACAUCCUUAGGUGCUGGCUCGGAAAUUCCAUGAAUGGAAACAUCCUUAGGUGCUGGUUCAGAAAUUCCAUGAAUGGAAACAUCCUUAGGUGCUGGCUCAGAAAUUCCACGAAUGGCUGGUAAGUCUAUUGUGGAUUGCAAACCCAACGAAGAGAGGCCAUUAUUCUCUAAGAAAGAAGGUGGUGAAGAAGACCCAAAAUCGAGGCUCUCUGUUCUAUCGCUGGACUUGAUAG
Molecule: long non-coding RNA, 325 nt
Filed under: Ananas comosus (pineapple)
Lineage: Eukaryota; Viridiplantae; Streptophyta; Magnoliopsida; Poales; Bromeliaceae
Description: long non-coding RNA (ACOM_LNC007915)
Source: RNAcentral